AGAGAUUUGAGUGUGCUCGAAAGAGAAUCUGAACACAGGUGCUGCAUGGCUGUCGUCAGCUCGUGUCGUGAGAUGUUGGGUUAAGUCCCGCAACGAGCGCAACCCUUGUCAUUAGUUGCUACGAAAGGGCACUCUAAUGAGACUGCCGGUGACAAACCGGAGGAAGGUGGGGAUGACGUCAAGUCCUCAUGGCCCUUAUGGGUAGGGCUUCACACGUCAUACAAUGGUACAUACAGAGGGCUGCCAACCCGCGAGGGGGAGCUAAUCCCAGAAAGUGUAUCGUAGUCCGGAUUGGAGUCUGCAACUCGACUCCAUGAAGUUGGAAUCGCUAGUAAUCGCGGAUCAGCAUGUCGCGGUGAAUACGUUCCCGGGUCUUGUACACACCG
RNAcentral lists this ribosomal RNA (386 nucleotides) under uncultured Herbaspirillum sp. RNAcentral describes it as "bacterial SSU rRNA". It matches the Rfam family "Bacterial small subunit ribosomal RNA", at positions 1002 to 1392 of the family's 1533-position model. Lineage: Bacteria; Pseudomonadati; Pseudomonadota; Betaproteobacteria; Burkholderiales; Oxalobacteraceae. The record is from RNAcentral.